Molecule: long non-coding RNA, 1085 nt
Filed under: Trifolium pratense (red clover)
Lineage: Eukaryota; Viridiplantae; Streptophyta; Magnoliopsida; Fabales; Fabaceae
Description: long non-coding RNA (TPRA_LNC005575)
Source: RNAcentral
CACACUUUUUAAGGUAACUGAGAAUUGGAGGGGAUUAAUCUCUAGACAUGUAAAAAGUCCCAGCUGUUCAAUAAAAGAUUAUAUCCAUUGACUAAUAUACAGUUCACUUCUAAAUCAUAUGUUGAGCUCUUACACCUUAGUGGCUCAAGAGUCAAGACAACAACAAUGUUCAAUGCAUAAUGUAGUCACAUAAAAUCCAUAACAUGCAAAAAUAUGUCAAUUAAUCAAAUACCUAUGAACCAUUAUACUAUUUAAUCUGACUCCACAAUAUCCAUAUCAGUAGGCCAAAAGGUAAAGACAACAAGCAGCAACCAAAUAUGUGGCAGAUUCAAACAAUACAUAAGGUUAGACUACGCCAUAAUCCUAACUGCAAGUGUUUUAAAUAAUUGCAGUCCACAACCACAAUUACUGCCUUAACAAUGUUGAAAAGUACACAACUACCGUAUUUAUUCACGACUGCAUUUUUCCACAAUUGUUUUCACUUUCGGUAUUUGAAAUGUAACCACAGUUUGCAACUGCACAGCUACUUGAAACCAUUUUGAAUCCAGCAACCUAUUCCAGUAUAGCUGAAUUCAUGCAAUAGAUUAUCAGACUAAACAAACAUGGCGAGAAAAAUUACUAUCACAAAAAAGUAUUCAUGCCCAUGAGUGCAAGCUAAAAUCAACUUUCACAUUCACAUGAAUUACUAGCCAAUUAUUAAGACUUAUAUACAUCGCGAUUUUGAAAAAGGCUAUCAAAUUUAAAAACAAAACCAACAGUUGUGUAAGUAGGAAAUGCAAAAUGUUAACUAAACUAUCUCAAACUAGCUCCAAUCAAGUCCUGAACAAGUAUUCAAAUCGAAUAUGGAACACGAUAACAAAUUAAGGCUAAAUACCUGAAAACUUGAUCAUGAUAUGCCGGUUUUGUCCCUGGUUUGUGCAAGACAGAGUUUUUCUUCAUAAAGCUUUAAUAGAUAAGAUGACUCCUCCAUAAAACGUUUUAUACACGUAUCAAGAAACACCUGCUCAGACACUACAAAUGGAUAAGUUAAGCUUGCAUCCUUUUUUCGCAAACCUUUCUUCAACAGAAAUUGCACAACUGAGGCU